RNAcentral lists this unclassified non-coding RNA (240 nucleotides) under uncultured fungus. RNAcentral's name for it is "partial contains 5.8S ribosomal RNA, internal transcribed spacer 2, and large subunit ribosomal RNA". The record is from RNAcentral. Lineage: Eukaryota; Fungi.
AACGCAUAUUGCACCUUCUGGUAUUCUGGGAGGUAUGCCUGUUCGAGCGUCAUUAUAACUAACAAGCCUUAAAGCUUGGUGUUGGAUGUCACUUAUUAAUAAAGUGCAUCUUAAAAUCAAUAAGCAGUAUUCUUAGCUUCGAGCGGUAGUAAUUUAUCACGCUUCUGGUGCUUAGAUACUCUGCUGAAUAAUUUAUAAUGGUUUGACCUCGGAUCAGGUAGGGAUACCCGCUGAACUUAA